This 1092-nucleotide ribosomal RNA is filed under the name Salmonella enterica. RNAcentral describes it as "partial 23S ribosomal RNA". It matches the Rfam family "Bacterial large subunit ribosomal RNA", at positions 1 to 1032 of the family's 2925-position model. RNAcentral also lists the same sequence under 5 other names. Lineage: Bacteria; Pseudomonadati; Pseudomonadota; Gammaproteobacteria; Enterobacterales; Enterobacteriaceae. The record is from RNAcentral.
GGUUAAGCGACUAAGCGUACACGGUGGAUGCCCUGGCAGUCAGAGGCGAUGAAGGGCGUGCUAAUCUGCGAUAAGCGCCGGUAAGGUGAUAUGAACCGUUAUAACCGGCGAUACCCGAAUGGGGAAACCCAGUGUGAUUCGUCACACUAUCAUUAACUGAAUCCAUAGGUUAAUGAGGCGAACCGGGGGAACUGAAACAUCUAAGUACCCCGAGGAAAAGAAAUCAACCGAGAUUCCCCCAGUAGCGGCGAGCGAACGGGGAGGAGCCCAGAGCCUGAAUCAGCAUGUGUGUUAGUGGAAGCGUCUGGAAAGGCGCGCGAUACAGGGUGACAGCCCCGUACACAAAAGCGCAUAUGCUGUGAGCUCGAUGAGUAGGGCGGGACACGUGGUAUCCUGUCUGAAUAUGGGGGGACCAUCCUCCAAGGCUAAAUACUCCUGACUGACCGAUAGUGAACCAGUACCGUGAGGGAAAGGCGAAAAGAACCCCGGCGAGGGGAGUGAAAAAGAACCUGAAACCGUGUACGUACAAGCAGUGGGAGCCCCACCACUAAGCCAGUGGUGAACUCCACAUACGCAUCCUUUGCUGAGGAGACGGUUAACGGAGCGAAAGCGACGUUCAACCUCAAAAGAAGCAGAGGGGGCUUAGUGGUGGGGUGACUGCGUACCUUUUGUAUAAUGGGUCAGCGACUUAUAUUCUGUAGCAAGGUUAACUGUAUAGGGGAGCCGGAGGGAAACCGAGUCUUAACCGGGCGUUAAGUUGCAGGGUAUAGACCCGAAACCCGGUGAUCUAGCCAUGGGCAGGUUGAAGGUUGGGUAACACUAACUGGAGGACCGAACCGACUAAUGUUGAAAAAUUAGCGGAUGACCUGUGGCUGGGGGUGAAAGGCCAAUCAAACCGGGAGAUAGCUGGUUCUCCCCGAAAGCUAUUUAGGUAGCGCCUCGUGAAUUCAUCUCCGGGGGUAGAGCACUGUUUCGGCUAGGGGGCCAUCCCGGCUUACCAACCCGAUGCAAACUGCGAAUACCGGAGAAUGUUAUCACGGGAGACACACGGCGGGUGCUAAUGUCCGUCGUGAAGAGGGAAACAACCCAGAC